This 735-nucleotide long non-coding RNA is filed under the name Homo sapiens (human). Its description in RNAcentral is "novel transcript". The record is from RNAcentral. Lineage: Eukaryota; Metazoa; Chordata; Mammalia; Primates; Hominidae.
ACACCACUUACCAAUCAAGUUGAUUCUCAAUGUUAGCACCGUGGCCUGGCAAGAUCGGACGUUUUCCGAGGAACCCGGCUGAGCUCCUGUGAGAGCUGCUCCCUGCACUGAUGUGGUCCCUUGGCUGGCAGGCUGCUCUGUGAUCAACCAGGUGACACCUGCCUGUUAUGAGGGACAGGUAGGAGAGGAUGGGCUUUCCAUCAAAACAAACAAAAAAAAAGUCCCAAGAAGGAACUCGGCUCUUCAGAGAUUCAGGACUCAGGAGAAGACUUCGUAGUGAGAGUUGACGUAGAAGUUGACAGCCCAAACCCCACACCAGUUCUUAGAAGUAUUGAUCUCCAAGAAAGAGCAGAAAGAGCUACAACUCCUGCUCCCAGGGACUUACAGGAUCUAAAAAAUGUUUGUGCAGCCAUUUGGACCUCAGUAUGAAGUGGUGUUAAAAGGUGAAGUCCAUUCUUCAGGAAGUAAACCUCUGCCACGUGGAUCAUGCUCAGACAUCCUAUUGAAGUUUGUCCAACAAUUUCUUGCUUUGGAAGGUGUCUCUCUUGGUGGAACACAGUUUCACCUUUUGCUGGAACUCAGAGCUACAAAUGAUGCUUAAUGUACCAAUGCCUUCUGACUGAACUCCUCUCUGCCCUGAAUACAAGAGACCCUAAUAGUUAUGUGGAAAUAUCAUCGCCCCGUUCAGCAUGAAGAAGUUACAAAAGAUGGACCUUCAUCCUUCUGCAACCCUUA